GACAGAGGGUGCAAACGUUUGUUCGGAAUUACUGGGCGUAAAGCGUGCGCAGGCGGUUCGUUAAGACAGAUGUGAAAUCCCCGGGCUUUAACCUGGGAACUGCAUUCGUGACUGGCGAGCUAGAGUAUGGGCAGAAGGGGGGGUAGAAUUCCACGUGUAGCAGUGAAAUGCGUAGAGAUGUGGAGGAAUACCGAAUGGCGAAGGCCAGCCCCCCUGGGCCAAUACUGACGCUCAUGCACGAAAGCGUGGGGGACAAACAGGAUUA
This 265-nucleotide ribosomal RNA is filed under the name uncultured bacterium. Its description in RNAcentral is "partial 16S ribosomal RNA". It matches the Rfam family "Bacterial small subunit ribosomal RNA", at positions 524 to 780 of the family's 1533-position model. The record is from RNAcentral.